This is a long non-coding RNA of Sander lucioperca (pikeperch), 259 nucleotides long. RefSeq lists it as uncharacterized. NCBI's taxonomy places the organism in Eukaryota, Metazoa, Chordata, Actinopteri, Perciformes, Percidae. The record is from RefSeq and is a predicted model, not a curated record. The transcript has 2 exons.
AAAUAACAUUUUCAAAAAGAAAAGCCAGUGAUGCACCUAGAUAUCCCCUCUAGAGAAUGAGAAUAGUAUACGAUUGGGCAGAAGUCUAGUGCACACAACUAUAAAAAAAAUAAAAUUUUCAUUUUGUCAGUUUUGGCCAUUAUUUCUAGCUGGUUAUGAGGACAUUUAAUGACAAAGUGUUGCUGAGGUCUGGUGAAGCAGUUCUCGGUAACAAGGCGACUGUUCUUCUCUACGUUAAAGCCCUGGGGAGUUUCCUUGG